UACAGAGGGUGCAAGCGUUGUUCGGAAUUAUUGGGCGUAAAGCGCGUGUAGGCGGCUUGGUAAGUCGGGUGUGAAAUCCCUCAGCUCAACUGAGGAAGUGCGCCCGAAACUACUUUGCUUGAGUGCCGGAGAGGAUGGCGGAAUUCCCCAAGUAGAGGUGAAAUUCGUAGAUAUUGGGAGGAACACCAGUGGCGAAAGCGGCUACCUGGACCGGAACUGACGCUGAUGCGCGAAAGCGUGGGUAGCAAACAGG
Molecule: ribosomal RNA, 253 nt
Filed under: uncultured bacterium
Lineage: Bacteria
Description: partial 16S ribosomal RNA
Rfam family: Bacterial small subunit ribosomal RNA
Source: RNAcentral